This 1261-nucleotide ribosomal RNA is filed under the name Euurobracon breviterebrae. RNAcentral's name for it is "16S ribosomal RNA". The record is from RNAcentral. Lineage: Eukaryota; Metazoa; Arthropoda; Insecta; Hymenoptera; Braconidae.
UUAAAAAAUAUUUUUCAUUAAAAUCAAUACAAAUAAUUUUUUAAAAAAAUUAUUCCAAACCUUUAAGUUAAAUAUAAAAUAUAAAAAAUUAACUUAUAAAAUACAAAAAUUUUAAACUUAAAAAUUAUAAAGAAAAAUUUAUUAUUUUUUCCUUUUGUAUCAGGAUUUAUUAAAUUUAAUAAUAUAUCUAAUUUUCUCGAAAAAAAAAUACUUAAUUAAUUAACCACUUUAAUAUAACAUUAUUAUAAAUAAUUUUUAAUUAGAAACUAAAAAUUAAACAUUUUUUUAUAUCUAGUUAUUUAAUAAAUAAAUUAAAUUUAGUUAUAAUUUACAUUUAUAAAAUAAAUUUUAUAAAUUUUAAUUAUACCAAAAAAAUUAGGGACAAACUUAAUUUUUAAGUUAAAAUUAUCUACAAAAUAUAUUUUAUUAUAAAUUUUAAAAUUUUUACUAAUAAAAAAAAUUUAAUAAUUUUUUAACAAAAUAAAAAAAUUUUAAAUAAAAAUUUAACUUUUUAUUAAAUUACUAUAUUAAAUUAAACUUUACUAAAAAUUAUGAUAAAAUUAGUAAAUUACAUUUAAAUAAAUAAUUCUACCUACCUCUCUAAAAAAUUAAUUAAAUAACUAGGCAAAUAUAUAUUCACCUGUUUAACAAAAACAUGUCUUUAAGAUAAUUAAUUUAAAGUCAAAUCUGCCCACUGAAAAUUUUUAAACGGCUGCAGAAAUUCUGUACAAAGGUAGCAUAAUAAUUUGUUUUUUAAUUAAAAACUAGAAUGAAAGAUUAAAUGAAAUAUAAACUUUUUCAAUUAAAUAUUUAUUAAAUUUUUUAUUUAAGUAAAAAAACUUAAAUAAAAAUUAAAGACGACAAGACCCUAUAGAAUUUUAUUUAUAUUAUUUUUAUUUUAAAAUAAAAUAAAUUUUAUUGGGGCAAUAAAAAAAUUUAAAUAAUUUAUUUUAAAUUUUACAUCCAAAAAUGUUCUUAAAACCUUAAUUUUUAAACCAAAUAAAUUAAUUACCUUAGGGAUAACAGCAUAAUUUUUCUUAAAAGAUCAUAUUUACAGAAAAGUUUAUGACCUCGAUGUUGAAUUAAGAUUAAAUUUAAAUGUAUAAAUUUCAAAUUUUAAGUCUGUUCGACUUUUAAUAUCUUACAUGAUUUGAGUUAAGAUCGGUGUAAGCCAGAUCAGAUUCUAUCUUAAAAUUUACAUAUAAUUGUACGAAAGGACCUUAUAUAUAAAAUAAUUUUUUUUAAAAAAAUAAAUAAUUUA